Molecule: long non-coding RNA, 4609 nt
Filed under: Nicotiana tabacum (common tobacco)
Lineage: Eukaryota; Viridiplantae; Streptophyta; Magnoliopsida; Solanales; Solanaceae
Description: long non-coding RNA (NTAB_LNC003941)
Source: RNAcentral
CAGGUCAGCUUCCUACAAAGGGAAAAGAAAGAGUAAGGCGAGAAAACCAACCCCAAGUCUACAAGAUGCUAGGGGAGGGUUGAGGGAAACGUCAUGACUGAGUACAGGCUUCUUUCUUUGUAAGUUUCUGCAGUUUAAAAGCUUUAUAGCAGAGUACUCUAUAUGCACGCUGAUUAUAUUAUUGAGACAAUGAUGGACCUCUGACAUUAUCUAUUGUACUAUGACCCUAUACCUCUCGCUACACAUAUGACGAUUUUUGGGUUUUUUCGUUCGAUAUUCGAUGUUUGAUAUUCGCAUUAAUGUCUUGAUUAAUUUGAAUUCGCCCCGCAUAAAAUUCAUUAAACAAAUAUUUUUUCUUAUCAUUUAGAUCGAGAAUUCUGAUUAUGAGUAGAAGAAUCAUAUUAAUCUCACGACAAUCAUCUAUGGUCAUUUAUAUUGACGAGAGAGGCAGAUCUAGCCUUCUAACAUCGAUCGUGUGUAACUAAAUUCAUAACUUUUGAUGCAUAGCAUAAAUUUAUGCGUAAAAAUUUGCUAAAAAUAUAACAAAUGGAUAAUAGAUAUGAACUUCAUAGUUUUAGAAAUAUAAUGAAUUUAAUAGUAAAAAUCUUAAAAAGCUUAUAUAAUUCAAAUCCUGGAUCCGUCUUUGAUUUACGACGGCUUAUCCCCUUAUUCAUUAUCCAACCCCCCAACUGCACUGGCAUUUCUUCCAAAGCUCUCGUCAUCAUCAUGAAUUGAUAAAUAGGGGCAAAUUUCCUACUUUAGCAAAUACUCCAAUUGUGUAAUAUAACCCCGUUCAUCUAAAUAUAAAACAGUUGAUAGAGAAAAGUAAAACAAACAAUAUAUUCUUAAAAUCGAAUAUUGUCUGACUCUUCAAAUAAUAGUAAUAAUAUCAUAUAAAAUGAGAUGAAAGAGAUAAAAAAAAAAAAUUCUCUAGAAAUGCAGUCGAAGAUAGCAGCUACCUGUUUAGUGCAUUGAUAAUUUUAACCUAGGUAAACACGCAAGCAAAAUGUGUACUAAUAUUUCUAUGGAUUGGAAUCUCUCACUCUAUUUAUUUCACGUCAAGUUUAGGUAAAAUCUGCCGCCAUUAUAUGACAAACGAAGAGAGAGGAGGAAAAAAGAGAUCAAGAAAAAGUCCAAAGGGAGAGUUAAGAGGUGAAGUUUUUUUUUCUUUUGCAGUGUGCCAAGCAUUCAAUAGGGAAGAAGGAAAUGCAAUAUCCAAAUCACACGCUUUCCUUCUCAGUUUCUUACAUGCACGCCUGUAUUACACUGACUUCUAGUUACGUCAUUCAUUAAUUUCCCUCCCUAUACUCUUUCUGCAAUUUUCAGAGAGAAAAGACUAUAGAUUUGUAUCGACUGCGAAUGGUUCUAUGAAAUGAUUGAAAUCUCUUUUUUCUUCUUUCUUAACUAAAGAUUUCAGAAAUUAAAAGUAGAGAACUUUUCAAUAGCGAACACUGCCGUUUGACAGGAUUCUUGCGAUAAAAUUAUUUUCUGAAAUCUAUAGAGUUAGUUAACUAAAUAUCCCACUUUCUGAAAUUAUGACCUGUAGAUUAUGAAUUCGAACUAUAGAGUUAGUUACUAACUAAUAUUUGCGUUAUGGUAGAUCCUGUAUCAAAUUCCUUGGGUGCAGCUCUUCUAUGAUAAUACAGAAUAUUUAAUGCACUUGGUUGUCCCGAGUAGACCGGCCUAUUAGAUACAAAUUCAAAAGAAUCGGAUCAAUAAUUACGAAUAAGAAUAAAAAUUAAAAUAAAAAUAAAAUAAACAUGCAUGAUUUAUGAAGAAGAGCUAUCUAUCGAUCUAUGGAGUAGCAGCUACAGGUAUUAAUGUGUUAUAGGAACUGAUAGAUUCAUUUCAAUCUUUCUUCCUAUUUGAAUGCUAUCCAAUCUUUAUUUCUUUCUUUCUUAUUUUCGUUUCACUUAAUUCCUACCACAAACUCCAAUGUCUGUGCCUUUUCAAACUAUCAACUUGCUAACAUUGUACUAUUGGCCACCAUUUAUUAACUCUAUGACGUUCAUCUAGAUUUUCUCCGUAUCUUUCAGCAGCGUCCAUAUCAUAGACAUAGUAAAACCACAUUCUCUAUAUUUCAAAUUAUUAAUUAAUAUUCCACCUCUUUUCAAAAAGAUAAGAUAUACUUUAUUACGAUAUUAUAUAAGACAGUCAAAAAUCUUUGCCAAGGAUUAUAUUGGUGUGAGUGUGACCCCCCCCUUUUUUUUUUGAAGGUGACUUUAAAUAACUGAAAUAGAACUACUAACUAUUUUUGGACAUGAAAAGGUAUACGCUAUCUGAUAUUUUCUUCACUGAUAAAUCCAAAAAGGAGCUUCCCCUCCCCCCCACUGCACGUAAUUUCCCAUAUUUUUCUUUUUGUAUAGAGAUUAGAGAGUAGCGACUAGGGAGUCACUCUUCAAAUGGCUUGGAAACUUUGAAAAUGACUUUACAUUUACUCUGCCAAAUCAAUAAUAUGACUGGUUUCUAAGAUCCUUUCGUCCUUUUUUUUUAAUUUAAUAAUAGUAGUCCGAACUAGUUUGAGUGCGAUUAAUUCAAUGAAUAUUUAUUAAUCUCAUUAGCAUAGAUAUCGAGUAACAACACUGCCCUCCAAGAAUUUGGCAGAUGCUCACCAAAUGUUUUCUAAGAUCUUUUCAUUCUUUUCCUCUUAUUAUAACUACGUUGUAUUUUUUUCAAAUUGCAAUAUGUACAAUAUCCUUUUCUUAUGAUAAUUUAAAUUUUGCUUGCUCAAAAGGACACUAAUUAGUGAAACUUUAAGCGUUUUAUUUAAUUUUCAUACCAGAGGAACUCAUGAGUUAAAGAAGUGAUUAUAUAACUAAAUAUCCCACUUUUUAUGCACAAUCAAACUACCAGAUAAGCAUUUUAUGGUUGAAACGCUUGGAUUAAGUAAAGAUAAAAACCUGUUAUGGCAAAUGAAUUGAAAUGAGUUUGACUCUGAUCAUAUCAUGAUAAAGAAGUAAAUUUGCUCCUAAUUUAACCCGAAAAAUUAGGUUAUAAGGUGAGAAUGUGGAACUCAACGUACUGGUCUACAUUUAGGUUUUUCCUUUUUUCUUAAUCUCUAUAUAUGGACAAGGUCUAUAUCUAAUAUUUAAAAGAAGUAAGUAAAAAAAUAGUUGCUAGCAAAUAUAUUAUUGUCAACUCAAUAUAAAUUAUACUACUAAUAAUUAAUACGUUUCAAGAUUUCAUUCACACCCAAGUACCCAAAAAGAUGUUUGGUUCAACUAAACAAAAACUCAACACUGUCGAAGAUUACAAAUGACAAAUUGAAGUCACAUGAAAUUAAUGUAUCUUCGAUAAGAGACAAACAAGGUGGGACUAAAUUGUUAGUAGGACUGAGAUUGCUCUCUCGACCUCAAAAGUAGACUGCAAAUAGCAUUUGGAAUUUCAAGUAUAGAUUGGCAUGACUUUACAUGCAUGCAAACAUUACUGUCAAAUACUGUUCAUUCAAUUCAUUGCUGCCAUGCAACCAAAUCGCGGCAUGCACUUCUAUACAUUCACAUGAUAUAUAUAAGCACAUGAGUGGAUUGCUCAACGAGUUUCCCAUCGAACUUUUAAUCUUAAGAGUUCUAAACAAAAUAUAUUACCGUUUUUAAUAUAUAUGCACAGAUAUAUCUAGAAUUUCUGCCUAGGUUAACCGGUCCGCCUCUGUAUAUAAGGGUUCUAGAAUUUCUAUGUACAUAAGUCCGCCUCUGUAUAUAAGUGUGUGUAUGUGUGUGCAUAUUUUGUUGCACGAGACAAAUCAGCAUUUCAUUUGUUUGUAAUUUUCGAUACUACGAAUGUAUAUAUCAAUUGUUUUAGAAUAAAAUAAUUUGUGGUCCUUGGUUUUUAGGAAUAUUGUUCGUUUUUCCUGGUGGCUAAGAAAAUGAUAGUUCAAUAAAUAGAAACGUCCCCAGCUAUUAGAUAAGCUAGAACACUGCAACGGCCAUAACAAAGAUUAAUAAGGGAGAAAUUCUCUUCUAUCUUCUUCUCUUCUGUUUUUCUGUGGAAUCUUUUUCUGUUCUGAAAUUUUAAUCAGGGUAUUUUUUUUGGAUCUCUGAUAAUUUUGGGACCACUUUAAUUUGUUCUUUUGUUUCAGUGGAAUGUAGCUUUUGAAGCUGCAAUUUUCACUGACUUAACAGUACAUGUACAUCAGUUCGUGGGAAAGAGAGACACCUUUCUCAAUGGCUACCCUCUUCACCAACAUUCCAUCUAUGAUAAAUAUAAAUUCUCCACUAUGGUAUAUCACCAUUGUGGUUUUCUUUCUUGAAGCUAGAGAGAAUAUUAGCAUAUCGGCACGUGUUGUGAUUGUGCAAUCAGAAGGUUACGAGUUUAAGUCGCACAAAUAAUUUCUAAAUCAAAUGUAUAGAUUGUGUACGCUAGAUUGAAUGGUCCAAUUACCAUUUUAGAACCCCGCAUUAAAAGUACGACGCACUACCCUUUCGCAAGUAAAUUUGACGCUAACAUUAAGUUGUUUUGGUAUGCUUACGAGUUCGAGCCGUGAAAGCAGCUCUAAUACUUGAAUUAUGGUAAGUUAUUUACGUCACAUUCAUAUUGGGGUGCAGUCCUUCUUCGAAUCCUGCGUGAAUGAGGAUACUUUGUCGACCGGGUUGUCCCUUUUUUUUACGCCAAC